CUACGGAACUCCUACGGGAGGCAGCAGUGGGGAAUAUUGGACAAUGGGCGAAAGCCUGAUCCAGCCAUGCCGCGUGUGUGAAGAAGGUCUUCGGAUUGUAAAGCACUUUAAGUUGGGAGGAAGGGCAGUAAGCUAAUACCUUGCUGUUUUGACGUUACCGACAGAAUAAGCACCGGCUAACUCUGUGCCAGCAGCCGCGGUAAUACAGAGGGUGCAAGCGUUAAUCGGAAUUACUGGGCGUAAAGCGCGCGUAGGUGGUUUGUUAAGUUGGAUGUGAAAGCCCCGGGCUCAACCUGGGAACUGCAUCCAAAACUGGCAAGCUAGAGUAUGGUAGAGGGUAGUGGAAUUUCCUGUGUAGCGGUGAAACGCGUAGAUAUAGGAAGGAACACCAGUGGCGAAGGCGACUACCUGGACUGAUACUGACACUGAGGUGCGAAAGCGUGGGGAGCAAACAGGAGUAGAUACCCUAGUAGUCCUCUUCGA
RNAcentral lists this ribosomal RNA (483 nucleotides) under uncultured bacterium. RNAcentral's name for it is "bacterial SSU rRNA". It matches the Rfam family "Bacterial small subunit ribosomal RNA", at positions 328 to 803 of the family's 1533-position model. The record is from RNAcentral.